This 90-nucleotide small RNA is filed under the name Sphingopyxis italica. RNAcentral describes it as "microRNA MIR1846". Lineage: Bacteria; Pseudomonadati; Pseudomonadota; Alphaproteobacteria; Sphingomonadales; Sphingopyxidaceae. The record is from RNAcentral.
UUUUUCCGUCAUCCCGGCGAAGGCCGGGAUCUCGCCGGUGCAUCGGGACGAGACGGUGAGAUCCCGGCCUUCGCCGGGACGACGAUUCAA